RNAcentral lists this ribosomal RNA (112 nucleotides) under Caerostris darwini. Lineage: Eukaryota; Metazoa; Arthropoda; Arachnida; Araneae; Araneidae. The record is from RNAcentral.
AACGGCCGUACCAUGCUGAAUAUACCGGUUCUCGUUAGAUUACCGAAGUCAAGCAUCAUUGGUCGCGGUCAGUACUUGGGUGGGUGACCACCUGGGAACACCGCGUGCCGUU